UACGUAGGGGGCAAGCGUUGUCCGGAUUUAUUGGGCGUAAAGAGCUCGUAGGUGGUUCGGUAAGUCGGAUGUGAAAUCUCCAGGCUCAACCUGGAGGGGUCAUUCGAUACUGCCGUGACUAGAGUUCGGUAGGGGAGUGUGGAAUUCCCGGUGUAGCGGUGAAAUGCGCAGAUAUCGGGAAGAACACCCGUGGCGAAGGCGGCUCUCUGGGACGGUACUGACGCUGAGACGCGAAAGCGUGGGGAGCGAACAGG
Molecule: ribosomal RNA, 254 nt
Filed under: uncultured bacterium
Lineage: Bacteria
Description: partial 16S ribosomal RNA
Rfam family: Bacterial small subunit ribosomal RNA
Source: RNAcentral